CUUCAGCUGAAUCAUCUCCAGAGAGAGUGCUUUGGACAGCUUCCAGUUAGACAUGGAUCUCCUGUGAAGAGAAUAUUCCUAUUGGAUGAGAGAAAAAGAAAAGGUUAGAGUCAGUGGAGAUGAACAGAAAAAAAUGCAUGUGGAAUACUGAAUUUCAGCCAUGGAGACUGAGGACAUGAAGAGAAGAGGGAGCAAGACAACAACACAUGGGUGGGCUAAAUAAUCCUGGUGAUCUGCAACUGAGUCAACAGUCUAGAAAAAGAAUAAAUAAUU
Long non-coding RNA from Talpa occidentalis (Iberian mole), 273 nucleotides. RefSeq lists it as uncharacterized. The transcript is spliced from 3 exons. The record is from RefSeq and is a predicted model, not a curated record. Lineage: Eukaryota; Metazoa; Chordata; Mammalia; Eulipotyphla; Talpidae.